This is an RNA transcript of Nomia melanderi (Alkali bee), 3272 nucleotides long. RefSeq lists it as uncharacterized. The record is from RefSeq and is a predicted model, not a curated record. Lineage: Eukaryota; Metazoa; Arthropoda; Insecta; Hymenoptera; Halictidae.
UCAAUUGGAUGGGUUUACAUGUACCACAUUGUAUAAGGAAGUAGGGAGUAUGAAUCAAAUCGCUCCCUGGAGGGAGACCGUCGUAGACAACUUUAUUGAGAAAGAAGGUCAUUUGUUGAUAAGCAGUCGAACAUAAGUGUUCACUGGUGAAACUGAAAAAUAGGAGGAAAAUUAUCUUAUUAUUUAAUUAUAGUAUGCUUAUCGUAAUCACCUCGAGUAUAUAUGAACGCUUUUUGUGGUCUCUUCGUUGUUUCACUGUCAACAAAUUGUGCGGUUGAGUGCCACUGCUGGUGAAGUGUAUUUUGACAACUGUCGGUUAAAUCAUGGAAAUGAUCAGCUCAAAGGUUGACGAACACGUUCUAGAGGCAGCGCUGCAAAAGCAACUGUCCGUAGAGACGCUGAAAAUACUGAGCGUAAAGAUCGAUUUCUUAUCGGAAAAAGGGUCGAACUUUCUCAGCGAUCUCUACAAGGUCACAGUGAAGUACACGGAUGCGUCGAAGAAUGAGGAGAAGUCGAAAUCAGAGCAUUCGACGGACGUGAUUAUUAAAUUGGAACCAAAAGAAGAAAUUCCUCUAGAGUUGGUGCAACAACAGGAUCUAUUUCCAGUCGAGUCGAAAGUACUACGCAAUGUUCUGCCGAUGAUAAGAGACUUGGUCGGUCAUCUUAUAGGGCCGUCGUUGUUGCACUGCUUAGACCAUCCUCGAGUUCUGAUCAUGGAGAAUCUGCACAAGAAGAAGUUUCUCAUGAAGGAUCGACAGAAAGGAUUAAGUUUUCAACAUUGCCGUCUAGUCAUGCAAAUACUUGCGAAAUUCCACGCAGGGUCCGUUGCAGUUCACGAAAGGAAUCCAGAACUGAUAGAAUCAUUCGAAGACGGUGGCAUAGUUUCGAAGAAAUGUCCGGAAGCUUUUCUACGACUGAUGGAAGUGAGCCUCUUGCGGAUAGGACAUCAAGUGAAGAAUUGGUCAGACGAAAAAUGUGUUCAAGCAGCGGCCAAGAUAAUCAAAAUGGCGGAAUUAAUUAGAACGCAAUGCAUUGAAGUGUAUGACCACGAUUCUGACGAAUUCUGCGUGUUGAACCAUGGGGACUGUUGGAUUAAUAAUAUCAUGUUUAAGGAAAAUGAAAGGGGCGAACCAGUUGAUUUACGCCUGGUCGAUUACCAAAUGGCUGUGUAUACAUCCCCAGCUAUCGAUUUGCUGUAUUUUCUAAAUAUCUGUCCAGAAUUGUCCGUGAAAUACGAUCAUGACGAUUAUUUCAUUGGGGUAUAUUUGAAUACUCUGAAGGAAACCAUGGAAAGAAUCGGUUGCAAAACAAAACCGCCGACCUUGGAACAAUUAAAAAAAGCUAUCCACAAGAGAAGAGCGUACGCAGUAUUCUCCGGGAUGGUGCUUUAUCUGCGAAUGAUGGCAAACAAGGAGGAUACAGAAGACUUCACCACAGUGUUAAAAUUAUACUCCGGUGAAACAAAAAUGGACGUCUUCAAAAAUCCGGACUCGGUGAAGCUAGCCUUGAAAAUGAUACCAAUAAUGAACGAGAAAGGUUACUUCGAUUGACUGAUUGACUUCGACACGCAAAUUCAGUACAUUAGGAGAAUAUUUACCAAGAUAUUCACAUUUAACUACGUUCUGUUUAAUUUUAGAAAUUCUAAAAGGAGUCUAGAUUAAAACUCGGUUAAGACAAGGUUAAAUAAUAGGAAUAUGGACCAAAGGCCGUGCCCCGCUGUUCAAAGAGAACUGCUGGCAGAGCUAUCCCAGCAGAUGAACUUUCGAAAAGAACCUCCGAACGUGCGGAUUCGGCGGUCAGCCGGUAGCAAUUGAUUUAUUGUAGGGCAGUAAAGCACUAGGCUAAAAGGUCUCCGAAAGCAUCGUCUUGGUAACCUACAUCGUGAACAGAGAAAUUGUUGUGGCAAGCCUCGAUGGGGUGGCCUUCUCGCGUAGAAUCUCGGCUACUGGAAAAGGAAAAACGCGAUGGAACAGAGGAUUCAUCGUCUUGGAAGAGAGAGCUCUAUCUUCCGGUUAGACCAAGGUAUUUCUCGAAGGUUGCUCCUUUGCUCUAGCUACCCUAGCUUUCUAUCUCUAGCCAGCUUUCCAUCUCCCUUCACUCACAGGUUCCUGGAGUUCUUGCUGCUUGACGACUCCAUCUUCCUCCCUUGUCCACGGUGACCUGAAAGUUACGCGCAGCCAGCAUUCGUAAAUCACAGUAGAAAGGCGAAUGCGAAAAAUUCGGUAGCCGAUUUUCGGUGCCCCGCACGAGGUUCGAGAAAGUCGGGUACAGAGAACACCGGAGGAGAAACUAAAGGAUAAUAGAAAAAAUGGCCAUCCGUAAAGGAUCUGGAUUACUCGGUCGUCAGUGUCCGAAAAUUCCGGUAGCAGACCGCGAUUAGUCACGAAUCGGGUCGGACGUAGAAAUUAGAUUUCCUCGCCCCCUUCAGCCCGUUUUUGCCAUUCAGGUUGCUUCGACGAAAUGUUCCGAUAUGAAAUCAGCCCGUUACCAGAUGGUUGAUCUUCUUUGCGACUAGCAAAGUAGCAUAGUGGAUAAGCAUCUGAAGAUCGUUGAGUAUAGAAUAGUGCAUCUGUAGCCUAAGCUUGUCUAAUUAUACUAUAAAUAGUUUGAGAGAAAUGCAAGGAAGUUUUUCAGUUAUUUUUUAAGUUUUUAAGUUUAUAUUUAAUGUAAAGUAUUGAUAACAAAUAAGAACAUUGAUUUUUAUUAAAUUAAGGGAUUAAUCAGUAUUGUUAGAGUGAUUAUUUUAUUUUGAUCUUCUAAACUGUAGUGGCAAUAAUGUAUUUUUUCUAGUGAACUUAGAAUGGAGUUUUUAUUUUGCGUGUGUUUCCAUAAAUAGAUAAACAAAAUUGGUAUUUAAUUAUUUUCAAUGAAAAUUGACUGAAGAUAAAUUCAAUAAUUUUGAAUAUAAUGCAUACGCAGUUGUAUUAUAGAAUAAAUUCCGUAAUAAAGAAAAGUGUACGAUCGGAAUGAAAGAAAUUCGUGUCAAAGGACGAGAUAAAUCAUAAAAGAUUUUGAAUAGGAUCACGAACUAAUCUUACAAUCCUUCAGGGGUUACGAUUUAAUACAAUUUUCACGUCGAAUUCAUCAAUGUCUCUCACCCACACGACUCUUCUUCUUCACGCGUUUUAUCAAAGGUGACUCCAACCCUGAGAAAAUCUUUCAGAAGCUGUGGAAUGCGAUUAAUAAGCUGCCAGCUACAGAAUGUUUUAAACGCUUAAAUUCUAUAGGGUAACAAAUAUACAUUUCUAUUAUCAAAGACUUUUAUACUCUAA